This 201-nucleotide ribosomal RNA is filed under the name uncultured Roseateles sp. RNAcentral describes it as "partial 16S ribosomal RNA". It matches the Rfam family "Bacterial small subunit ribosomal RNA", at positions 30 to 233 of the family's 1533-position model. Lineage: Bacteria; Pseudomonadati; Pseudomonadota; Betaproteobacteria; Burkholderiales; Sphaerotilaceae. The record is from RNAcentral.
AUUGAACGCUGGCGGCAUGCCUUACACAUGCAAGUCGAACGGUAACGCGGGGCAACCUGGCGACGAGUGGCGAACGGGUGAGUAAUAUAUCGGAACGUGCCCAGUCGUGGGGGAUAACUGCUCGAAAGAGCAGCUAAUACCGCAUACGACCUGAGGGUGAAAGCGGGGGAUCUUCGGACCUCGCGCGAUUGGAGCGGCCGA